GUCGUGCAAGCAAGUGGAACCCUCGUCCAAGGAGUAGCACGACUCUCCAUGCAACUCAAGUCGUUGGAGGAGUCACAUAACCCACUGGAUGGUGGAGAGUUAUGAGACUUGAGGACCGAUUUGGGAGAUCUUCAAGGUGUUGAUUGGAGGUUUGUAAGCAUUAUUUGGAGCUUGAAGGUUGGGAUCUUCAAAUUCUACAUCAGAAGACCUGGGGUUUGCUUUAAUUCUAGAUUCUAUGCAUAAAUUUAGUAACGUGAGCUCUAGUUGCUUUAUUAAAACUAUAUACAUGUCAAAUUGUCCCUAUUCGAGUUUUGGAACCUUGGUUGUUAUGUUGUCUUGCAAGAUUUGUUGACC
Long non-coding RNA from Cynara cardunculus var. scolymus (artichoke), 354 nucleotides. RefSeq lists it as uncharacterized. The transcript is spliced from 2 exons. The record is from RefSeq and is a predicted model, not a curated record. NCBI's taxonomy places the organism in Eukaryota, Viridiplantae, Streptophyta, Magnoliopsida, Asterales, Asteraceae.